GACGAACGCUGGCGGCGUGCUUAACACAUGCAAGUCGAACGCUGAAGGCCCAGCUUGCUGGGUUGGAUGAGUGGCGAACGGGUGAGUAACACGUGAGUAACCUGCCCCCUUCUUUGGGAUAACGGUCGGAAACGGCUGCUAAUACCGGGUAUUCACUGUCCUUCGCAUGGGGGGUGGUGGAAAGGUUUUUUCUGGUGGGGGAUGGGCUCGCGGCCUAUCAGCUUGUUGGUGGGGUGAUGGCUUACCAAGGCUUUGACGGGUAACCGGCCUGAGAGGGUGACCGGUCACAUUGGGACUGAGAUACGGCCCAGACUCCUACGGGAGGCAGCAGUGGGGAAUAUUGCACAAUGGGCGAAAGCCUGAUGCAGCGACGCCGCGUGAGGGAUGACGGCCUUCGGGUUGUAAACCUCUUUCGCUCAUGGUCAAGCCGCAGCUUUGGGUUGUGGUGAGGGUAGUGGGUAAAGAAGCGCCGGCUAACUACGUGCCAGCAGCCGCGGUAAUACGUAGGGCGCGAGCGUUGUCCGGAAUUAUUGGGCGUAAAGGGCUUGUAGGCGGUUGGUCGCGUCUGCCGUGAAAUCCUCUGGCUUAACUGGGGGCGUGCGGUGGGUACGGGCUGACUUGAGUGCGGUAGGGGAGACUGGAACUCCUGGUGUAGCGGUGGAAUGCGCAGAUAUCAGGAAGAACACCGGUGGCGAAGGCGGGUCUCUGGGCCGUUACUGACGCUGAGGAGCGAAAGCGUGGGGAGCGAACAGG
This 753-nucleotide ribosomal RNA is filed under the name uncultured Actinomyces sp. RNAcentral's name for it is "bacterial SSU rRNA". It matches the Rfam family "Bacterial small subunit ribosomal RNA", at positions 28 to 776 of the family's 1533-position model. The record is from RNAcentral. Lineage: Bacteria; Bacillati; Actinomycetota; Actinomycetes; Actinomycetales; Actinomycetaceae.